This 589-nucleotide ribosomal RNA is filed under the name uncultured Bacillus sp. RNAcentral's name for it is "bacterial SSU rRNA". It matches the Rfam family "Bacterial small subunit ribosomal RNA", at positions 338 to 918 of the family's 1533-position model. The record is from RNAcentral. Lineage: Bacteria; Bacillati; Bacillota; Bacilli; Caryophanales; Bacillaceae.
CCUACGGGAGGCAGCAGUAGGGAAUCUUCCACAAUGGACGAAAGUCUGACGGAGCAACGCCGCGUGAGUGAUGAAGGCUUUCGGGUCGUAAAACUCUGUUGUUAGGGAAGAACAAGUACAAGAGUAACUGCUUGUACCUUGACGGUACCUAACCAGAAAGCCACGGCUGACUACGUGCCAGCAGCCGCGGUAAUACGUAGGUGGCAAGCGUUAUCCGGAAUUAUUGGGCGUAAAGCGCGCGCAGGCGGUUUCUUAAGUCUGAUGUGAAAGCCCACGGCUCAACCGUGGAGGGUCAUUGGAAACUGGGGAACUUGAGUGCAGAAGAGAAAAGCGGAAUUCCACGUGUAGCGGUGAAAUGCGUAGAGAUGUGGAGGAACACCAGUGGCGAAGGCGGCUUUUUGGUCUGUAACUGACGCUGAGGCGCGAAAGCGUGGGGAGCAAACAGGAUUAGAUACCCUGGUAGUCCACGCCGUAAACGAUGAGUGCUAAGUGUUAGAGGGUUUCCGCCCUUUAGUGCUGCAGCUAACGCAUUAAGCACUCCGCCUGGGGAGUACGGUCGCAAGACUGAAACUCAAAUGAAUUGACGGGG